UACGUAGGGGGCAAGCGUUGUCCGGAUUUAUUGGGCGUAAAGAGCGUGUAGGCGGCUUGGUAGGUCCGCUGUGAAAACUCGAGGCUCAACCUCGAGAUGUCGGCGGAAACCACUUGGCUAGAGUCCGGAAGAGGAGAGUGGAAUUCCCGGUGUAGCGGUGAAAUGCGCAGAUAUCGGGAAGAACACCUAUGGCGAAGGCAGCUCUCUGGGACGGUACUAACGCUGAGACGCGAAAGUGUGGGGAGCAAACGGG
Molecule: ribosomal RNA, 253 nt
Filed under: uncultured bacterium
Lineage: Bacteria
Description: partial 16S ribosomal RNA
Rfam family: Bacterial small subunit ribosomal RNA
Source: RNAcentral